RNAcentral lists this ribosomal RNA (421 nucleotides) under Ligilactobacillus salivarius. RNAcentral's name for it is "partial 23S ribosomal RNA". It matches the Rfam family "Bacterial large subunit ribosomal RNA", at positions 2483 to 2902 of the family's 2925-position model. Lineage: Bacteria; Bacillati; Bacillota; Bacilli; Lactobacillales; Lactobacillaceae. The record is from RNAcentral.
UUAUCUCCCCCAAGAGUUCACAUCGACGGGGAGGUUUGGCACCUCGAUGUCGGCUCAUCGCAUCCUGGGGCUGUAGUCGGUCCCAAGGGUUGGGCUGUUCGCCCAUUAAAGCGGUACGCGAGCUGGGUUCAGAACGUCGUGAGACAGUUCGGUCCCUAUCCGUCGCGGGCGUAGGAAAUUUGAGAGGAUCUGUCCUUAGUACGAGAGGACCGGGAUGGACAUACCGCUGGUGUACCAGUUGUUCCGCCAGGAGCAUCGCUGGGUAGCUAAGUAUGGAUGAGAUAAACGCUGAAAGCAUCUAAGUGCGAAACUCACCUCGAGAUAAGAUUUCCCAUUACGUAAGUAAGUAAGAUCCCUGAAAGAUGAUCAGGUAGAUAGGAUGGAAGUGGAAGUGCUGCGAGGCAUGGAGCGGACCAUUACU